AUGGAGAUUUCCGAGCAUGUCAACAAAGUUGAUAAUUCUCCUAAUAUCUUAAUUGCUUAUCACAUCUCAUUUGUUUUCGUGACUAUCGUAGUGGCCGAAAUAAGCUUUUCAAAGUUGAAAUUAUUGAAGAACUAUUUGAGAUCAACAAUGACUCAAAAGAGGUUAGAUGGUUUGGCAACAUUAUUGCAUUGAGAAGAAAUUAUUGGAUGAGAUGGACAUCGACCCCAUCGUAAGUCACUUUGCAUGGAGGAAUUUAGAUGA
This 261-nucleotide ribosomal RNA is filed under the name Triticum aestivum (bread wheat). RNAcentral's name for it is "partial small subunit ribosomal RNA". The record is from RNAcentral. Lineage: Eukaryota; Viridiplantae; Streptophyta; Magnoliopsida; Poales; Poaceae.